Molecule: ribosomal RNA, 238 nt
Filed under: Lachnospiraceae bacterium KHCPX20
Lineage: Bacteria; Bacillati; Bacillota; Clostridia; Lachnospirales; Lachnospiraceae
Description: 16S rRNA. Bacterial SSU
Rfam family: Bacterial small subunit ribosomal RNA
Source: RNAcentral
UAUAACAUGAGAGUUUGAUCCUGGCUCAGGAUGAACGCUGGCGGCGUGCUUAACACAUGCAAGUCGAACGAAGCACCUGGUCACGAUCCCUUCGGGGUGACGACCUUGUGACUGAGUGGCGGACGGGUGAGUAACGCGUGGGAAACCUGCCAUGUACUGGGGGAUAACAGUUGGAAACGACUGCUAAUACCGCAUAAAACUGUCGGAUCGCAUGAUCUGAUAGCCAAAACUCCGGUGG